RNAcentral lists this ribosomal RNA (446 nucleotides) under uncultured bacterium. RNAcentral's name for it is "partial 16S ribosomal RNA". It matches the Rfam family "Bacterial small subunit ribosomal RNA", at positions 338 to 795 of the family's 1533-position model. The record is from RNAcentral.
CCUACGGGAGGCUGCAGUCGAGAAUCAUUCACAAUGGGGGAAACCCUGAUGGUGCGACGCCGCGUGGGGGAAUGAAGGUCUUCGGAUUGUAAACCCCUGUGAUGUGGGAGCAAAUUAAAAAGAUAGUACCACAAGAGGAAGAGACGGCUAACUCUGUGCCAGCAGCCGCGGUAAUACAGAGGUCUCAAGCGUUGUUCGGAAUCACUGGGCGUAAAGCGUGCGUAGGCUGUUUCGUAAGUCGUGUGUGAAAGGCGCGGGCUCAACCCGCGGACGGCACAUGAUACUGCGAGACUAGAGUAAGGGAGGGGGAACCGGAAUUCUCGGUGUAGCAGUGAAAUGCGUAGAUAUCGAGAGGAACACUCGUGGCGAAGGCGGGUUCCUGGACAUUAACUGACGCUGAGGCACGAAGGCCAGGGGAGCGAAAGGGAUUAGAUACCCGGGUAGUC